GACGAAGGAUCCAAGCGUUGUCCGGAUUUACUGGGUUUAAAGGGUGCGUAGGCGGACUCUUAAGUCAGUGGUGAAAGCCCAUAGCUCAACUAUGGAACUGCCAUUGAAACUGGGAGUCUUGAAUUCGAUUGAGGCAGAUAGAAUAUAACAUGUAGCGGUGAAAUGCUUAGAUAUGUUAUAGAAUACCGAUUGCGAAGGCAGUCUGCUAAGUCGACAUUGACGCUGAGGCACGAAAGCGUGGGGAGCGAACAGG
This 253-nucleotide ribosomal RNA is filed under the name uncultured bacterium. RNAcentral's name for it is "partial 16S ribosomal RNA". It matches the Rfam family "Bacterial small subunit ribosomal RNA", at positions 524 to 776 of the family's 1533-position model. The record is from RNAcentral.